UCUCUCCUCUGUUUUUGCUUGCUCCAAUGGCCGGGGCUAAACGACGUCGUUGCUGCGGUUUACAAGAUUGGCUUCGCCGGAGAUUCCGGAGUGUUUGUCGGACAAAGGUAAAGAGUUUUUGGGGAAAUGUCUGAGGAAAGAUCCGAAACAGAGAUGGGCUGUCGAAGAGUUGCUUCGAAGAGGACCGAACUCAAAGUCAGGUCUCUGUCUUGUCUGAAUACUUCCUCUCCUAGUACUGUGUUGGAUCAACGUUUCUGGGAUUCAUGCGGAACUUGGAGAAGUGGGUUAGUCAAAGCGGAUCACGAAGACACAUUUGCAAGGGAUUCUUCACCGGCUGAUCGAAUCAAGAAACUCGUCCGGGAUGAGGGUUCCGGCGAGAGACGGAGUGGAGUACGGCGGAUAAUAGUUGGAUUGAAGUUAGAGGUGACGGAGAUUACCAUAAACCAGUUACUAAUUACUUGAAUAGGGAUGAUGAGUGAUGGCUGAACUCGACCA
Molecule: long non-coding RNA, 495 nt
Organism: Brassica napus (rape)
Lineage: Eukaryota; Viridiplantae; Streptophyta; Magnoliopsida; Brassicales; Brassicaceae
Exons: 2
Source: RefSeq, a predicted model, not a curated record